UCUGGAAACGGAGAGUAAUACCGUAUGAGCCCUUCGGGGGAAAGAUUUAUCGCCAAAGGAUUAGCCCGCGUUAGAUUAGGUAGUUGGUGGGGUAAUGGCCUACCAAGCCUACGAUCUAUAGCUGGUUUUAGAGGAUGAUCAGCAACACUGGGACUGAGACACGGCCCAGACUCCUACGGGAGGCAGCAGUGGGGAAUCUUGGACAAUGGGGGCAACCCUGAUCCAGCCAUGCCGCGUGAGUGAUGAAGGCCUUAGGGUCGUAAAGCUCUUUCGCCUGUGAAGAUAAUGACGGUAGCAGGUAAAGAAACCCCGGCUAACUCCGUGCCAGCAGCCGCGGUAAUACGGAGGGGGUUAGCGUUGUUCGGAAUUACUGGGCGUAAAGCGCACGUAGGCGGACCAGAAAGUUGGGGGUGAAAUCCCGGGGCUCAACCCCGGAACUGCCUCCAAAACUAUUGGUCUAGAGUUCGAGAGAGGUGAGUGGAAUUCCAAGUGUAGAGGUGAAAUUCGUAGAUAUUUGGAGGAACACCAGUGGCGAAGGCGGCUCACUGGCUCGAUACUGACGCUGAGGUGCGAAAAGUGUGGGGGAGCAAACAGGAUUAGAUACCCUGGUAGUCCACACCGUAAACGAUGAAUGCCAGUCGUCGGGUAGCAUGCUUUCSGUGACCACCUAACGGAUUAAGCAUUCCGCCUGGGGAGUACG
RNAcentral lists this ribosomal RNA (700 nucleotides) under bacterium B5. RNAcentral's name for it is "bacterial SSU rRNA". It matches the Rfam family "Bacterial small subunit ribosomal RNA", at positions 149 to 884 of the family's 1533-position model. The record is from RNAcentral.